AAGCUUAGCUGGAGGGGAGAUACAUGAUCACUGGUUUUCCCAGGGUAAGGCUUCUCCAUUGCACUUUGGAUAAGCUGACCUCCAAAGUUUCCCUAACAGCAGGAAACUUGGCUGCAUAAUUUGUAGUAGCAGAGGACUGUUCACAACCUCCCUCGU
Molecule: small nuclear RNA, 156 nt
Filed under: Mus spicilegus (steppe mouse)
Lineage: Eukaryota; Metazoa; Chordata; Mammalia; Rodentia; Muridae
Description: U1 spliceosomal RNA (ENSMSIG00000020218.1)
Rfam family: U1 spliceosomal RNA
About the family: U1 is a small nuclear RNA (snRNA) component of the spliceosome (involved in pre-mRNA splicing). Its 5' end forms complementary base pairs with the 5' splice junction, thus defining the 5' donor site of an intron.
Source: RNAcentral